RNAcentral lists this unclassified non-coding RNA (300 nucleotides) under uncultured Paralepista. Its description in RNAcentral is "sequence contains 5.8S rRNA gene, ITS2". The stretch from base 1 to 71 matches the Rfam family "5.8S ribosomal RNA", at positions 84 to 154 of the family's 154-position model. Lineage: Eukaryota; Fungi; Basidiomycota; Agaricomycetes; Agaricales; Tricholomataceae. The record is from RNAcentral.
GUGAAUCAUCGAAUCUUUGAACGCACCUUGCGCUCCUUGGUAUUCCGAGGAGCAUGCCUGUUUGAGUGUCAUUAAAUUCUCAACCUCUUCCAUUUUUAUUAAUGGGUUAGGCUUGGAUGUGGGGGUUGCGGGCUUCUAAGAAGUCGGCUCUCCUUAAAUGCAUUAGCGGAACCUUUGUGGACCGUCUUUGGUGUGAUAAUUAUCUACGCCAUGGUCGAGAAGCAGUUUUACAUGGGGUUCAGCUUCUAACUGUCUAUUUAUUUGGACAACUUUUGACAUUUUGACCUCAAAUCAGGUAGG